RNAcentral lists this ribosomal RNA (407 nucleotides) under uncultured bacterium. RNAcentral describes it as "bacterial SSU rRNA". It matches the Rfam family "Bacterial small subunit ribosomal RNA", at positions 28 to 416 of the family's 1533-position model. The record is from RNAcentral.
GACGAACGCUGGCGGCGUGCCUAACACAUGCAAGUCGAACGGGACUUAGUGGAAAGCGGCUUCGGCCAAUGGAAGUUAAGUUUAGUGGCGAACGGGUGAGUAACGCGUGAGAAACCUGCCUUUCAGUGGGGGACAACAGUUGGAAACGACUGCUAAUACCGCAUAAUGUGCCGGGAGGGCAUCCUCCUGGUACCAAAGCUUUAUGUGCUGAAAGAUGGUCUCGCGUCUGAUUAGCUAGAUGGCGGGGUAACGGCCCACCAUGGCGACGAUCAGUAGCCGGUCUGAGAGGAUGAACGGCCACAUUGGGACUGAGAUACGGCCCAGACUCCUACGGGAGGCAGCAGUGGGGAAUAUUGGGCAAUGGGGGGAAACCCUGACCCAGCAACGCCGCGUGAAGGAAGAAGGCC